This 205-nucleotide long non-coding RNA is filed under the name Nicotiana benthamiana. Its description in RNAcentral is "long non-coding RNA (NBEN_LNC041024)". The record is from RNAcentral. Lineage: Eukaryota; Viridiplantae; Streptophyta; Magnoliopsida; Solanales; Solanaceae.
UUGCUCAUAUUCGCCUCCAUUCCGUAACAACCUGGAUAAAUAACCAAGGCUCUGAUACCACUUGUUAUGACCGAAAAAAAUCAUGUGUCAUGCGGAAGCUAGCAAAGCAAACUUGAACGACGAUUAAUCAGACAACAAAAGAGAAAUAUACCAAAAGAGACCAAACAUUUAACAUGGUUCGGUCAACUGACCUACGUCCACACGG